RNAcentral lists this ribosomal RNA (427 nucleotides) under uncultured bacterium. Its description in RNAcentral is "bacterial SSU rRNA". It matches the Rfam family "Bacterial small subunit ribosomal RNA", at positions 917 to 1344 of the family's 1533-position model. The record is from RNAcentral.
GGGCCCGCACAAGCGGUGGAGCAUGUGGUUUAAUUCGAUGCAACGCGAAGAACCUUACCUACUCUUGACAUCCAUAGAACUUUUCAGAGAUGAAUUGGUGCCUUCGGGAACUAUGAGACAGGUGCUGCAUGGCUGUCGUCAGCUCGUGUUGUGAAAUGUUGGGUUAAGUCCCGCAACGAGCGCAACCCUUAUCCUUGUUUGCCAGCACUUCGGGUGGGAACUCCAGGGAGACUGCCGGUGAUAAACCGGAGGAAGGUGGGGACGACGUCAAGUCAUCAUGGCCCUUACGAGUAGGGCUACACACGUGCUACAAUGGCGCAUACAGAGGGCGGCCAACUUGCGAAAGUGAGCGAAUCCCAAAAAGUGCGUCGUAGUCCGGAUUGGAGUCUGCAACUCGACUCCAUGAAGUCGGAAUCGCUAGUAAUCG